GAUGCUGAAAUCACUGCACCUUAAAAACAAAAAGAUUAAGCUGCACUGCGUUCCUCAGUGGUUGGCAGUUUUCCUCAACUUUGCAAGAGAGAGAGAAUUGGUUGGAAUGAAACCUUGCUCUCCAUACAGUCCGCUUGAGAUGCAGCAUUGAAAGGUUACAGGAUUUCCUUUAUCUUGAUGGACCAAAAUGAUUCUCAGUUUGAUGAUGUUGGUCUGCUGGAAACAAGAGAGGAGGAGGAGGAGGAGGGAAGAACUUUAGAAUGAUAUUGUUGUUACUGCUGUGUUCAAAACCUAUUAUUUGCUGGAGUUUUCAGAAGUUUUUGAUUUGUUUUCCUUCUCUCUCUCUGACCUAAUUAAUUUUAUGGGACCUCCCCAUGGACAUAAUUUAUAUGACAAAUGAAUUACAUUAAAAGUUGCUGUCAUGGUAAGAAACCCCUAGUUUAUGGUAAAUCUAAUGUGUUUCCACAUUCUUUCCCUCUGUAAAUAGUGAUCUACUAGAGAUAAUUUGUUUUCUUUAUUUUUCAGAUAACUUUGGGUGUGUAGUGACUUUACUAUCAGUAUUAAAAAAAUAAAAAACAUAAAUAAAAAAGGAGAAACA
This 598-nucleotide long non-coding RNA is filed under the name Apteryx rowi (Okarito brown kiwi). RNAcentral's name for it is "lncRNA (ENSARWG00000007637.1)". Lineage: Eukaryota; Metazoa; Chordata; Aves; Apterygiformes; Apterygidae. The record is from RNAcentral.